RNAcentral lists this transfer RNA (59 nucleotides) under Amblyomma hebraeum (bont tick). RNAcentral describes it as "tRNA-Asn". The record is from RNAcentral. Lineage: Eukaryota; Metazoa; Arthropoda; Arachnida; Ixodida; Ixodidae.
AAUAGAAGCCAAGAUUGAGGCUAUUCACUGUUAAUGAAUUUAUUGAAUAUUUUCCUAUU